GAAAUGCGAUAAGUAAUGUGAAUUGCAGAAUUCAGUGAAUCAUCGAAUCUUUGAACGCACAUUGCGCCCGCCAGUAUUCUGGCGGGCAAGCCUGUUCGAGCGUCAUUUCAACCAUCAAGCCCCGCGCUUGUGUUGGGGACCUGCGGCUGCCGCAGGCCCUGAAAACCAGUGGCGGGCUCGCUGUCACACCGGGCGUAGUAGAUUUUAUCUCGCUCAGGGCGUGCUGCGGGUUCCGGCCGUUAAAAAGCCUUUUUUACCCAAGGUUGACCUCGGAUCAGGUAGGAAGACCCGCUGAACUUAAGC
Molecule: unclassified non-coding RNA, 303 nt
Filed under: plant metagenome
Description: partial contains 5.8S ribosomal RNA, internal transcribed spacer 2, and large subunit ribosomal RNA
Rfam family: 5.8S ribosomal RNA (bases 1-105)
Source: RNAcentral